This 519-nucleotide ribosomal RNA is filed under the name uncultured eukaryote. Its description in RNAcentral is "bacterial SSU rRNA". It matches the Rfam family "Eukaryotic small subunit ribosomal RNA", at positions 31 to 550 of the family's 1831-position model. The record is from RNAcentral.
CUUGUCUCGGAGUAAAGACCUUGCAUGUUUCUGUUUCAACAACUCUAUUCUGAGAAACCGCGCAUUGCUCAUUAUCUCCAUUAUACUUGAUUUGCUAGUAUUCUCCUUCUUUGAUCACCGUAGUUAUUUUAGAGCUUAUUCAUGCGUAAACUCCCGACUUCUAGAAAAAAAGUAUUUAUUUGAUUGAAACCCAUUGGCUUUCGAGCUGUAUUGUGGUGAGUCAUAAUAACUUAUCGGAUGGCAGUAACCUCACGGCGGCGAUGAAUCCUUCAAGUUUUUGCCCUAUCAGCUUUCGAUGGUAGUGUAUUGGGCUUCCAUGGCGGUAACGGGUAACGAAGAAUUAGGGUUUGAUUUUGGAGAGGGAGCCUGAGAGACGGCUUCCCCAUCCCAGGAAGGCAGCAGGCGCGGAAAUUACCCAAUCGUGACACCCGGAGGUAGUGGCCAUAAAUAUCAAUGCGGUCGGUUUUCCGAUUGCAAUUGGAAAAAGGGCAAUUUUAAUCCCUUAACGAGGAUCAAUUG